UACGUAGGGUGCGAGCGUUAAUCGGAAUUACUGGGCGUAAAGCGUGCGCAGGCGGUUUUGUAAGCCAGAUGUGAAAUCCCCGGGCUUAACCUGGGAAUUGCGAUGGAGACUGCAAGGCUAGAAUCUGGCAGAGGGGGGUAGAAUUCCACGUGUAGCAGUGAAAUGCGUAGAGAUGUGGAGGAACACCGAUGGCGAAGGCAGCCCCCUGGGUCAAGAUUGACGCUCAUGCACGAAAGCGUGGGGAGCAAACAGG
This 253-nucleotide ribosomal RNA is filed under the name uncultured bacterium. RNAcentral's name for it is "partial 16S ribosomal RNA". It matches the Rfam family "Bacterial small subunit ribosomal RNA", at positions 524 to 776 of the family's 1533-position model. The record is from RNAcentral.